Molecule: long non-coding RNA, 291 nt
Organism: Anarrhichthys ocellatus (wolf-eel)
Lineage: Eukaryota; Metazoa; Chordata; Actinopteri; Perciformes; Anarhichadidae
Exons: 3
Source: RefSeq, a predicted model, not a curated record
UUUAACGUGAAGGAGACGCGGCAGCACACGGAGGAAGAGGUCGGGGCCUUCACGAAGCUCAUCGAGGCGAUGGGCUUCACUGGACCGCUCAAAUACAACAAAUGGAAAAUCAAGAUCGCUGCGUUGCGGAUGUACACGUGCUGCGUAGAGAGAAUCAACUACGACGACUUCUUUGACAAGUGCUCCCUCCCAGACACACUCAACUCUUGGUUCUUGGUAGCGCAGCUGCACGUGUGGUGAGUCUCUCUCUCACACACACACACACACACACACACACACACACACACACAC